AUUCACUUGAGUUCAGUAAACAUGUUUCUAGGUAUAGACAGAAAGGUCCCUGGGCAAGAAUAAUGCGUUGGAGGAGACAAAAAUGUGCAUGAAUAGCAGUGUUCAAGGUGUCAUGUGAACUGUAAUAAAUUUGGUUGCCUUAUUUCUACAAAGUCUAUUAUAGAGCCCUGGUGCCAAAUAAAUGAUUAUUCAUCUGUACUGAAUUCUAGGUGAGAAGACACUGUCAAAUGCAACCUUUCAGCAGUGGCUAAAAGCUUGGGUUCUAGACUCAGAUUGUCUGGCCAUGAACCCAGGUCCUUGGGAGACCUUGAACUUGCCCAAAUCACUCUGUUUUUUUUGAAACAGGGUCUCACUCUGUCAUCCAGGCUGGAGUGCAGUGGUGCGAUCUAGGCUCACUGCAGCCUCUGCCUCCCUGGUUCAAGCGAUUCUCACACCUCAGCCUCCUGAGUAGUUGGGAUUACAAUUUUGAUUAACAAUCAUGGUUUUGCUUUAUGCAUAGAGAUGUAUGAGCCAUUUGCUUAAAACUGCUGUCACCAAAAUGGUGCACGUGAUUCCAAGGGAAAUGUAGAAAGACAGGGCAAGGCUAUAGGAAUCCAAGAAAGAGAUUUUUCUUUAGUUGAAUCAACCCACAGGUUUGACCUCUUGCAUUUCUUUGCACCAAGUCAAGCUUGCUAUGAUGAAAAUCUCCAGUCUGUUUCUGAGAGAUAGACAGAAUGCAUAUCAAUAUCAUUCUAUAAAUAAUCUCCCAAGACAUUGCCACCUCCAUAAGUAGGUAGUUAAAUAUUGAAUGUUAAAUAAAAUGGAAACCCAAAGUAGUAAGUGACUUGCCCAAGGUUAGCACAUCAAGAGAUAGAACGAAGGCCUUCAGAAUUCUUUCUACAUCUCAACAGGCAAAAGAUAAAAUUCUAACAAUUUAGCUGGGCAUUCUGUGGGCCCUUAUAGUCCCAGCUACUUCGAAGACAAACAGGAGGAUCACUCAAGACCAGAUGUUCAAGGCUGUGGUGAGAUUUGACCACAACUGUGACUAGCUGCAUUCCAAUCUGUCUCAAAAAAAAAAAAAAAGAAAAAGAAAAAAAAAACAUUUUGGGAGGCCGAGGCGGGUGGAUCACUUCAGAUUGGGAGUUUGAGACCAGCCUGGCAAACAUGGUGAAACCCCGUCUCUACUAAAAAUACAAAAAUUCGCCAGGCGUGGUGGCGCAUGCCUGUAAUCCCAGCCAUUUGGGAGGCUGAAGCAUGAAAAUCGCUUGAACCUGGGAGACGGAGGUUGCAGUGAGCCAAGAUGGCUUCAAUUGCCCUCCAGUCUGGGUGACAGAGCGAGAUGAAAGAAAGGAAGAAAGAGAGAAAGAAGGAAAGAAGAAAGAAAGAAAGAAAGAAAGAAAGAAAGAAAGAAAGAAAGAAAGAAAGAAAGAAAGAAAGAGACAGAGAGAGAGAGAGGAAGGAAGGAAGGAAGGAAGGAAGAAAGAAAAAGAAAGAAAGAAAGAAAGAAAGAAAGAAAGAAAGAAAGAAAGAAAGAAAGAGGAAAAGAAAAGAAAAGAAAGAAGAAAGAAAAGAAAGAGAAAGAAAAAGAAAGAGAGAAGGGAGGGAGGGAGGGAACCAAAAAAUUAUCAAAUUAUUUCCAACUCUUCUUCUUGGUCCUCAAAGUUCUGGCCCAUUUCUCCUUCUUUCUAUAAGAAAUUCCCUGAUAUUUCUAGUAGCAAUCUGGGUAGAUUCUCUCCUGGGCUUCUCCCAGUUCUUCUGCUCCCAUCCCCUCUCCAUCAUCCACAACUAUAUUUGAUAUUGACUGAUUCAUAGAUUACUAACACCACUUCUACUAUCAGUUCAUUCGCAUCACAUGACAAACAGUGAUUGCACACCUACUACAUUUCAACCCUCUGGUCACUCCAGGUGUUUUGUUGUACGUUACUUCUGUGGUUAGCCUUUUACCUCCUGGCCUAGUUAUAGAGUUGGGCCUAGGUAUGAUAUUCAGUUUCUUCUUGGGAGAGUAGUAGGAGCCUUACCAGUGGUCUUCCUCAUGUUCUCUGCUGCACGGGACCUCCCAAAGUCUGAUAGGAUGGAGGGCAAGAAUGGGCACAAGGAACUAUAAUCCUUUUUCAAUUCUGCUCCUUAGCACUCUUGCAUCUGCUAGCUGGGAUCUUACCCAGUGAGAUCAAUCUCUUUUUCUCUAUCUCCAUUUGUAUUCUUAUAGUGGGAGAUCAAUAAAAUACUGACUGCAUAAAUAAAUUAAUAAAUGAAAAGAUAGAAGAAAUGAAUCUUUUCAAGUCAACUUUUUAGAUAUUCUCUGUUCUCCACAUAGACACAGAGGGGGAACAACACACAGUGGGGCCUGUCAGGUGGAGGUGGGGAGAGGGAGGGAGAACAUCAGGAAAAAUAGCUAAUGCAUGCUGGGCUUAAUACCUAGGUGAUGGGUUGAUAGAUGAAGCAAACCACCAUGGCACAAGUUUACCUAUGCAACAAACCUGCACAUCGUGCACAUGUACCCCAGAACUUAAAAUAAAUUUUUUUUAAAAAGAGAGACAGAUUAACACGAAAAAAAAAGAUAUUCUCUAUUCUCAAUUCAGUGGGCCACCUUAUGACACCAAUUCUGUGUGAUCCAGCAAUAGAUGUUUCCAAAAUGAGAACAUUAUGUGUUACACAAGCCCAAAGAUGCAAGAAACCAGAAAAGGGAGCCCAGGAAAUUCAGGAAUAUAUUCUACUUUUCCAUGCAAGAAGAUAAAUAUAGAUGAUAAGGAUGGGGAUAAAGAGAAGCCUGGAAUAGAACAGAAUUCAAAAUCACAACUCAAGCAGCAUUUUAGAUUGAACCAGAAGGAAUUUAGCCCUACUACAUUUUAAGUUUUUAAUCAGACAGGAAAAUUUAACGGGAAAUGUAAUGGCAUGCUACGUCAUGCAGAUGAAGCCUCCAAGUAGGAGGCUUUAGAGAGAAUAGACUGUAUGUAUUUCUUAUCAGACUUAAGGUCUGUGUUGAUGUCAGUCAAGAACUAAUGGGUACUAGGCUUAAUAUCUGGGUGAUGAAACAAAUCUAUACAACAAACCCCCAUGACACAAGUUUCCUAUGAAACAAACCUGCCCAUGUACCCCUGGACUCAAAAUAAAAGUUAAAUUUUUAAAAAAAAGAAGUUCUUGGUAAUGCCCACAAGAACUUUAUCUCUGUCUAUCAUAGCAGGUUCCACCUCUCAGUUCUCCACCUAUCCAAGGGCAGAGGGCAGAGAUUCUCAUCAGCAAAGCAGUCAGGUAAUUGCCAACAAUCCAAGUAAAUUCAGGACUUAGACUCCAUUCUAGAUUUUGCCUCUGACUGACUUUAAGCUAGUUUUCUUCAGGAGAAGGACGCAAAAUAACACUUUUCUUUUAAAGAAUUGUUAUGCUAAUCUCCGUGGGGGAACAGAUGUAAUUACUUACUAUUCUUCACAGUCCCAAACAUCUUGAAUUUGCUGUGGCUUGGAAGGCAAACAAAUCUUCACAGCCUCUCUUACUGUGAUUCCGCUGCAAAGGUGAGACAACUUCCAUGGCAAACUUAAUGGUAAUAUUUUCUAAUUGAGUUACCCCUACUCUUCUUCUUCCAAGACAUUUUCUCCCCAACAUAAUCCUCGCAGUCUUUAUUUAAUCAGAGUCUGUGUCUAAUACAUUACAGAUGCUCAAAGAAACAUUUCAUAUAAGAGUGAAAUAAUUAAUGGU
Molecule: long non-coding RNA, 3669 nt
Filed under: Homo sapiens (human)
Lineage: Eukaryota; Metazoa; Chordata; Mammalia; Primates; Hominidae
Description: non-protein coding lnc-ETV6-5:1
Source: RNAcentral